CACCCCAUUUUAAUAUCCGACGAUACCCUCGACUUUUUUUCUACUCAUCAUCUGAGGACCUGCCCACUUUCUGCAUCGGAGUCUUCACUCCCUUUUCCUUCUUUUUGGCUCUUUCAUAUUGACCCCACCGGAAUCCAUGGAUUCUAAGGUCCUUUCCACCGGAAUCCCAUUUACCACUUUGCCGGAGAACUACAUCAGACCAGAAUCCGAGAGGCCUAGACUCUCCGAAAUUGCCGACUGCGAAAAUGUUCCUAUCAUCGACCUGAGUUGUGACGAUCGAGCCCAAAUUAUUGAGCAACUCGCUGAUGCUUGUAGCCGUUAUGGCUUCUUUCAGGUUAUUAAUCAUGGGGUGUCUGCGGAAGCCAUCGAGAAAAUGCUACAUGUGGCUAAUGAGUUUUUCCAGUUACCUGUGGAAGAGAAGAUGAAGUUGUAUUCAGAUGACCCAUCAAAGACAAUGAGGUUGUCUACCAGUUUCAAUGUCAAAAAGGAGAAAGUGCACAAUUGGAGAGAUUAUCUUAGACUUCAUUGCCAUCCUUUGGAGCAAUAUAUGCCAGAGUGGCCCUCCAAUCCUCCUGAGUUCAAGGAUACCGUGAGCAAUUACUGUGUAGAGGUUCGACAACUUGGGCACAGACUGGAAGAAGCCAUAGGAGAGAGUUUAGGCUUGGAAAAAGAUUAUAUAAGAAAUACAUUGGGUGAACAAGGGCAACAUAUGGCGGUAAACUAUUAUCCACCUUGUCCCGAGCCAGAGUUAACUUACGGACUGCCAGCACAUACGGACCCCAAUGCUCUUACAAUUCUUCUUCAAGACUCACAUGUCGCGGGUCUUCAAGUCCUUAAGGACGGCAAGUGGGUUGCUGUUAAACCCCACCCAGGUGCUUUUGUUGUUAACAUUGGCGAUCAAUUGCAGGCAUUGAGUAAUGGCAAGUACAGAAGUGUAUGGCACCGAGCCACUGUUAAUGUCGGUAAGGCAAGGAUGUCGAUUGCUUCUUUCCUCUGCCCAAGCGAUGAUGCGCUCAUUAGUCCAGCAAGGGCCCUCACGGAUGAGGGGUCUGCAGCCAUAUACAGGAGUUUCACGUAUGCAGAGUAUUACAAAAAGUUCUGGAGCAGGAACCUUGACCAAGAGCACUGUUUGGAAGUUUUUAAGAACUAGUGACCUUUAAUGUUGAGAAAACCAAGAAGAACUAAAUUGUUGUGCCUGACUUCUUUGUGGUUCUGAGUGAGAAAACCAAGAAGAACUAAAUUGUUGUGCCUGACUUCUUUGUGGUUCUGAGGUAUUUAUGACUAAAAGUUUAAGUUGCUGCUUGUUGCACUCCAGGAUAAUGGUUGCAGUUUUCACAUUAGUUGAGGAUAGAUGCUUGCUAAUUAUGUAGUUUAAUUAUGUAGUUGAAUUCUUGGACUAGGUUUGACAUCCAAUCGAAUUUUGUGAUGGGUUUCACACUAACCUCUUGUUCUGACUAGAUUUGAGUUCUUAAUCAAACUACCUAAUCAUCAAUACUAAUGCUUAGUAUAUGAUCAUUAGGAUAAGAACAUGAUGAUCCAUUUUGUAUUUAAAGGUAUCUCUAAAUUAUUAUCACGCUAUAAAAAUUUGACAGUGUAAUCAUGAGCUGUUAGGAUAAUCAUUUAGCAUGGGAAUGAAAUAAGAAAAAUAAACCGGAUUUAGUGCCCGGUUAUUCUAUAUUAAGUUGCCUAAAAUACAAGCAUAAACAAGAAAUAAACUUCAGAAAUUUCUCUGGUAAUGGAAGCAAACAAAUGCUUAAUCAGUACAUUAAAAAUCUCAUAAAAGUAAUCCCACAGCAGAUAAAAAAUAAAAAUAAAAAUUCAUAAGCAGAUACCACAUAUUUGAACUUACUAAGAUUGAUAGGAAAAAUUUGUGUAACAUCUGUAUAGUUUAGGCACGAUGCCUUUCUUCAUUGAAAAAAAACAAAACACGACUCUAAAUUACUCAAAUUACAUAAAUUUCUCAUUCGGAAACUAACUUCUUCUGGUAUAUAAUUAGUUGAAAGCUAAGAUAUCUAACCUGUUGUGGAAAAUCUCCUUUUUCCAUUUGGGAAUUAAUGAGCACCUUUGCUGCAAAAUGCAGCCGAGUUGGUUCUAUCCCUGCCUGUUCUAAUUUAAUGUUAAAAGUGAAGUGAUGAUAAGUAUUGAAUUAGUAUCCUUGGUAUUCCAUUUUCUCAUCAAGUGUUAUUUCCAUAGCUAAUAUUUAUUAAAAUUUGAGAAGACUCUUUAUUUUGGUUCAACAGAUGUUAAAAUCACACUGUCAACUUAGAUAGCUUUAACUGUUACCUUGAUUUGGCAUGAAAGGUAACUCUCUCCCCAAUCACCAGAAUCAAGCUAUAUCGAUGGUAGAAAAUCACAAGCUUUUCUGAUGAUUGAGCUAUUUUCAUAGAUCUUGACACCAGCCAACAACCCCUCUAUCCCAAACCAUGUUCCAUAGGUGUAGCAAACUCCCCAUGACCUACGCAAGAGGACUUCAAAUAAUGCUAGAUAUUGGAUUUCUUAGCUGAGAUAUUUAGUUCUGGAUACCACUAAACACAAGUAGAAAAUUCAUCCCUUCAUUCAACAAAAAAUCUAACUUUUUAAACUUUAUUUUACUUUUUGAAGGAACAAGCACAGUAUAGUGCUCAUAAAUAGUUAUAAAGUAGAAAACAAUGGUCCUCCCAAAGCCAGAAAACUCACUAUGAGCCAUUUGGUUGUUGAAUGAUUUUAUUGAAGUUGGUUGCCUGUCAAUACUUCUGUCUCUUUCCUAUGUCCUGGAUACAGUUUUGAAAAGAAUUGAAGACCUUGAUUGCCGCUGAGGUGCAUUCAACAUUUCUAAAAUAUGAUGCAUGGUCCAAGAAAACAUUGCUGUGUCAUAAAUACUCACCUAGAAUUUUCAAGACAAAUAAAUGACAGUUGUUCUCAUAUGGGUCUGGACAGCUUGUGAAUAAUUCAGAAUUUCGAUUUGAUCUACUUGUCUAUCAUCAUAUCUCCAAAUGUUCCAGAUGAAUUGAGCAUCUGAGAAACCUUGACUCAUGAGCACUUCAUUAAGUUACCAUUCAACUAUUCAAAAAGUUUGUUUGGAAGAGAACGCUUUACCUUCAGUAUCCUGUGAUGCCAAAAAGGAAUAAUUGCCUGGGUCACUGAAUUAUUGUCUAGUAGAUCCAUGAUUGUGGAUUUUAGAAUAUACAUAGCACCUAGUUCUUAUAGCAGUUUUGUUAUGAUUCAUUUGUUUUUCCAUGAAAAAAAAAAAUAUUUAAGCGUCUUAUUUGAAUUAUGUAUCCAGCUAGUUUUCUCUUUCCUUCCAAAAAGCCAAUGCCAGAGGUUCUUGAAAAUUCAUGGAGAAAGCUAUUAUGGUAAUAGUUGAUUAGUACUCAAAACCAAUGUGUUUCCUUAUAUAGAAAUAGGUUUUUGAAUACUAGAUUGGGCUCUUAUUGAAUAAUUCAAUACUAGCACCUCAUGGUAUCAAAAUAUUCUAUUCUAAUAAAUGACUGUAAGUGAAGCUUCUAGUCCUCCUCUAUUGGAUGCAAUCUAACACCACGAUAAGGUAUCGAAAUCACCCAUUACAACAACCAAGGGUCCAAAAGGUUUAGGCUAUUGUUGAAAUGAAAGUCGAUAUGAUUUGAUGUAGGGGAGCACAUUUUGAUACAAGACUUAGAGGCAUUUCAAAGGUCAAGAAGGUUUGAGCAAGUGUUGAAAUGCAAUCUAACACUACAAUGGAGGAAUCAAAAUUUUCUGUGUUGCAGGUUCCAAAUUUUCACUCUGAGACUUACCCUAUUCGUCUCUUUCUCUUAUUUUUAUAUAUUUUAGGAAAUUUAAUAAUGUUUUUUAGGGUUAUUUAUUACAUGAAAAUAAGAGAGAAUAGGAGGAGGUACACGAUAUAGAGUUAGUGAGAAAAACUUUGAUUAAAAUUGUUCGGAUUUUUUUAAUAAAUUAUUCAUAGUUUAGUUUAAUUUAGUGUAUAGGGUGUAAUAUGAUCAUGAGCAGCUAAAUCCUUUCAUUGGAGAUGUAGUAAUGAAGGCAGAUGAUAUGAGGAAAACAGGUGAUAAGAAAAAGUCAUAUUCUUCAAUUAUAGUAAGUUCCUAAUCUUUAAAUUUCAUAAGCAAGUUAAAUUCUUUGUUAGUUCAUCCCUAUUAGAGAUACAUAGAAUGCAUGUUAGGGGUUCGUUGGUGCAUAAGAGAUUAUCAAUGGUUGACCAAGUGUGAUCCUAUAUGAUUAAUAACUAAAGAAAAUUUACCAUAUAAAUAUUGAGUUUUAAAUAUUUUAAAGAUUAAAACUUCUUAUCCAAUCAUUCAUUGAAGACUAUCAAAGAAUGAAUUUCAAAUAUUCAAAACAUGGUUCCAUAUGAGAAUGAUUUGUAUCGGUGAUACAAUCUUGGAAAAACCAAAAUCCUUCAAGUAGUAUCUGUUAUUUCUCAAUCCUAGGUCUAAACCCAUAUUUAUGAAAAUCCCUAAAUUUGUUUAUCAUUGUUUUCUCAAUUAAAAAUUCAGUUUACCAAUCAAAUCACAUCUUUGAUUCAAAUAAUUUUUCAUAAAGGUUAUUAUUUGAUUUGAUCCAGACAAAAUUAGUUAAUUUUUUUUAUUCCCUGAGAAUGAUAACUCAAAAUACUACAAGUUGUGGUGAUCUUUUCUCUAGUUUUUCUUAAUCGAGAUCACUAUGUUAUUAGGCUAUAGUAAACUUAUACAAUAGACAAAAAUUGAUCUAGAAAAUGGCAUCACUACUAGGGAAUUGAUAAUGAGUUUUGUCUAAGUCAAUUAAGUACUCAUUACUUUUUAGUUUUUAGUUUUUAGUUUAAUUUUUAAUUAGAAUAGUUGUUUUUCGUUAACCAUUAAUUAUUUUGUUGUCUCUUGUUUUUGCCUUUAGUUCUCUUUCUAUUUUUUUCCCUUUUACUUUUUAUAUUUGUUUGGAAAAAGGACAUUUUAGGUAGACUUAAAAGAGAAAUUCAACCAACUUAAGGCAAGUAUGGAUAGCUAAGGAGAUUAAACAAGCAACAACAAUUAACAAGCCAAACCCUUCCAAGCUUGCAGAUCGAUGAGAGGUCAUCUUAACCUUUCUAGGUCAGCACAUCCUCAUGUUUCUUUUUUCCUCAAGAGCAUGUUAUGAUCAAACCACAAUUAAUGUCAAUGUUGCCUAUUUUUAAAGGGGGUAUGGAUGUGGAGGAAAUUUGCUUCACAGUCUAGGUAGCAAACAUGCCUAUUGAAGUGAUGAGGAUAAAACUUUUUUCUUUAACAUUAAAGAUCCAGGCCAAGAUAUGGCUUAACACUCGUAAUUUAUAAAGUAUUGGAAGUUGGACAAAUUUUCAAUCAAUAUUUUUUUCAAAAAAAUUUCUUUCACACAAGAUAGUGCACUGAAGAAAAAGAUUUCCAACUUCAAAGCACCGGAACAAGAAUCUUUGUUUGUAUGUUGGAAGAGAUCCAAUGUAAUGCUUGGUGCUUACCCACAUCAUGGAUUGAAGAUUUGGAUGUUGGUGAGUUACUUCUAUGAAGGAAUGUCUCCUCAAAUGAAGCAACUAGAGGAAACAAUGUAAGAAGGCGACUUUAUGAAAAAAAAUUCAAAAGAAGCCCUUCAAUUCUUAGAUUACAUGGUUGAAGUAUCAAUGAGUUGGGAAGAUUCAUUGAGUAAAGACAUAACCAAGGAUAAAAGCUCCACCAAAGCUCCAGGUGAAUGACAUCUUAAAGCAAGCCAAUGCAAUUAGUGCCUUUAGGCAAAGUAACAACAAUCUCCCCUCUAACAACACAUACAAUUCAAGGUAGAGAAACCAUCUAAACUUGUCUUAAAGAAGGAAUAAUCAAUUUUAGUAGGGAAUAACAUCAACUCAACCCCUAAAUUAGUUUAUGCAAUAAGGAAACCAAUUUAACAACAGUCAAGGACAAGGAUAACAACUGUUCUCUACUCAAUCCAACUCCAAUGAACCCCUAUUUGUGAGCAUUUCUUUUCAUAAAGGAAGUUAAGGAUUUGUGCAACAACCUUAAUCAACUUCAACUACUCUAAGUAUGGAAAAUCUACUUCAAUAAAUCUAUCAACAACAAGUUCAGUUCACCUUUGAGCAAAGAUAAUUCAAUGAGGAUUGAAGGAAGAUAAAUGAGGAAGAAAGGAAGAUCAAUAUUCAGACAAGCCAUACCAUCUCCAACACCUGAGCCACAAUGAAUCCGAUUUUUUCCAACCUACCUCAAGAAAAAGGGAGAUUCCCAACCUAAUCUCAACAAAAUCUAAGGAAUACUUGUGAAGCAAUAGAUUUUAAGAAGAAUAAAGAGGUAAAAACAGUACUUACAUUGAGAAGGAGUUGAAAACACAAAAACCAAAAAAGAAUGGUAAAACUGAUUAGAAGAAAGAUUCAAUUGUUUAAAAUAUAGAUCAACAAAUUUUAGAGAAGGAAUUGAGUAAGAAAUAAAAGAAAAAACAACAAGAUAAGGGAAAGACACAAUUUAGAAUUACUUAUCUUUCCUUUCAAUACUUAGGAAGCCUAAGAUCAAUAAACAAACUUCUAAUAUUCUUAAAGUGCUAAUGCAAGACAAGGUAAAUAUACCUCUCUCAAACAUGAUCAAAUAGGUGCUAACCUGUGCAAAAAUUUUAAAAGAUCCUUACGCAGUUAAAAGGAAAAUUAACAUCAACAAAAAGGCUUUUCUAAUAGAGUAGGUGAGUGCAAUGAUAGAAAACAAAGUCAUGGUGAAGUAUAAGAACCUAAACUAUCUCACUAUCUUUGUGCAAAUUAGAGAUUCAUAUGUGAAGAAGGCAUUUCUUGACUUAGGCGCAAGUGUGAACCUCCUACCUUACUCUAUUCAUUAGCAAUCAAGAUUGGAAUAAUUAAAAGCCAUGUUUAUAACUUUAUCCUUAGCUAAUAGAAAAAUCAAAAUACCUAAAGGAGUGGUGGAUGAUAUGCUAGUGCUAGUUGAAAAAUUCUACAGACAUAGAACCUUUGAGGAAAGGGGUGAAUUCAGUUCCAAUUAUCUUAGCACAAACAUUCUUAGCCAUUACUAAUGUACUUAUCAAUUGUUAGAAUGGGGUCAUGUAAUUGUCAUUUGGGAACAUGACUCUGAAGUUGAAUGCAUUUCAUCUAUGCAAGUAACAAUAAUCAUGAAGAGUUUGAACCUGAAGAAGUAUGCUUGAUUGACACUUGAAUUAAAGAACAUGCAAAUCAACUCAUGGAGAAGCAUUAGGAUAAAGUACUAACUAGUUUUCCAAGGAAAGAAGCUUAGCUAAAUGCCAUUGAAAAGAGAGAUAUGAAGAAGGACAACACUUGUUGAAAGAAGAAGAAGGUAGGACUAGAUGUUAAUAGCAUGUAAAUAGAAAACAUUAAGCAGGAAUAAUCUAAAAAGUUCCAGGAGAAGAGAUGUGAAUUGAAACCACUACUAUAGGGAUUGAAAUAUGUUUUUCUUAGUGAGAAUGAAGGAAAACCAAUGGCAAUUUCAGUUUGACUUCAUGUGGACUAAUGAGAGAGAAGAUUAUUAAAAGCUCUUAAGGAAUGCAAGGAAGCCAUUAGGUGGUCCAUAUAGACUGUGAAGAGGAUUAAACCCUUAAUUUUUACAUACGUGUCUAACUAGAGAGGGUUGUGUGACAACCCAAACCCGAAGGCUAGGACAUCACAUUCAUUUCAUAUGUGAAGCAUAAAUGCUUAACAUGAGAGUGAACUAACAAGAAAAAUUAAUCAGCAAAAUGUUAAUCCCAAAACUUAUUCGAAGUAAUAGUUAAGCUAACAAAAAAGUCUUAACUAGAAAUUUGUCUUUCCAUACAAAAAAAAUCAAUAAAUCAAAAUUUUGAUAAUUCUCUAAAAGUAGUAGUAAAAUAAACCACUAGUAUCCAAACAAACUAGCCUCAUAGCUAAAGAAAUCAAGGAACUUCUGGAGUCCUUCCUACCCAUGUUACUUCUUCCUAGAAUCAAGUGUCCUUGAAAAGAUUUAAUAAAAUGAGUAAGCUUGAAAGCUUAAUAUGAGGUAGAGAUCAAGUACAUUUAUUUUUCAAAAAUGAAAUAGGGAAUGCUUUCAACAUGAAUAUAAUCAAAAGAAACAAAAUUGUAUUACUUGUGUUAUUUUCAUAAAAGUAUUAAAUCAAAUUUUUCGAUAAACAUGCAUAUAUUAAAAAAAAAAUAGUUAAUGUUGGGAUAGAGUCUUGAAAAGUAUGAUAUUAUGUAACUAUUUUAUAUUCAUUAAUAAAUUUAUUUAUUUAUCUUUCUUGUUUACUUUACUAUCAUAUUUGCAUUAUUUGGUUAUCUAAGCAUACAUACUCAUAUCACUUACAUUGUACAUGAUUUAGGUGCAUUAGAAGAUGUACAUAGAAUAUAAGUCAUGGGUUCUUUACAAGAUGAUAAGUUUUUGUAGUCAGUUCAUGGAUUUGAGUAAUCUAGUACAAACUAGAGUAUACUACCUCCUAAUAGGAGGGUUGACUUGUCUUGGCAGUCAAGAUGGGUUUCCCAUAGUGAGUGUACUAAUGUGUGCAGUUACACAUUGGACAGGACCUACAGUGAAUCAUGAUGUAUGGGUAUUAGUUAUCAUAAUUCAGCAAGCUACCAUACUGCAUAGACUCUCAACCUUGUGAGAAUAUUAAGCUUGUGUCAAAAUCAACAAGAGACUUUGACCUAUGGGUGAGACCUUAAUGUGGUCAUAUAUCCCUAUGAAUUAGGUCACUAGUGAUGAAGGCUGGUGGCAACAUGAAUUCCCAAUAAAUGCACCAUGCUAUCUCAUUAAAGUGAGAUAGUGUGUCCUCUUAGGUGAUCUAAAAGAUGUGUGAUCUAGAAGACUAUGCCCAUAACAUUUCCUUAUUGGAAAUUUGACAUUUGCUCCUUAAAGUUGGAGUAUGUCAAUUAAUCACGUAAUAAGUAGAUCUAUAAUUUAAGGAUUUGAGAGGUAAUCUUAAUAGGUGAUAACACUACCUUGUUAUAUUACAGACACUAGUUAAAAGGGGUUUGCAUGCAAUGGAUUAUUAGGCACGAACCUAAGGUUCGCCUCAUUGUAAUUACAUAAAAUACCAUAUUGCAAUUGAUUCUCUUUAAUGGAAUAUUGAAUCAACUUCAAAAUUAGAUUUUAAGGGAGUUAAUAUUUUUAGGUGGGUCCUAGUGGUCCAUUUUCAAGCUUUUAUUUCAUGGAGGUACAUUUUAUUUGAAGAUUUUGGUUUUCUAGUUCACAAGUGUGCAGAAGGGCAUUUUGAUAAAAGCAUAAUGUUACACUAGAUCUUAUAACUUGUCUUUCUGGUAUGAGCUAAUUAAUUAAUUAGAGCUUAUUGAGGCUAAUUAAUUAAUUAGGGCCAAGUUGGGCUAGAUUAGGUUACCCAAGUCUCAUUUGGGUUUAAGUCAUUUAAUCUAAUAAUGAAGCCUAUAAAUAUCCCCUUAUUAGGGGUUAGGGUUUCAUUUUUUACCAAUCUUCUUCCAAAGAAAAUUUUCAAAGAGAAAACCUUAGCCAUCUUUCAAGAAAGAAAAGACCAUUCUAUUCUUGUGUCUAUUAUUAUGCUUAGAGAGAUCGGGUGGAAGACUAUUGGGUAGACGAGAUCUAUGACGUCUUCAACGGUUUUAAAUUCUUAUUUAACAAAUUCUAUGGAAUGCAUUUGAUCUAGGACCGUCUAGAUUUAGGUGUAUGUGGAUCCAUAUUUUUCACAUGCAUUUGAAAAACUAAUUUUUGAAAAAGAUGGACUUGCUACUUAUUUUUAUUAUUUUUUAAAGGGAAAAUAAAAUAAGAAAUAAAACCUUAAAAAUGACUUUUUAUUUGGAAAAAUAUGUUUUUGAAAAAUAAGUUUAAGUUUUGAGGUUAGAUUGCCUAUCGAGAAGGUACCAUAGGAUAGUACCCCUCCAAACCCUAAAUAAAGGUCUUUACUAAUUAAAUUAAGGUAACUAUGAUAAUCAAUUUGUAAAUCAAUAGUUACCAAGGGAGCAAUAACAUGACGAUGGUGUUGACAAAUAGAAACAUAGCAAUAAAAUAUUCACACACGACAUACAUAUCAAAUGAAAUCAAAUAAAUAGGGAAUGGAAAGAGUACCUUAAAAACAAGUCAAAAACUUUUAUAAAACAAUAAAUGUAAACAAUAAUAUUAAAAUCCUAUGUCAUACAUAACAUGAAUCAACUUUGAUCAAAAAUAAAAAAUAAUAAUAAUGCAUAGGCAACAAAUGAAUCUAACAUACAUACAUCCACAAAGCAUACUCAAAUGAAAUAUAAAAAAUAACAUAAUGAUGUAAAAAGAUACAUACUUGAUGUGUGUGACAUGCUCUCAAUAUAAAUCUGGAUUAAAAGAAUUCACAAUUAUACAUAAGAAAAAAGGAAUUAUCUAAAAUGAACAAAACACUUAGCAAUAGGGAAAAAAAUGAAGUGUUCAUGAAAUAAAUCAAAAUGAAAUAUUUAGAUAUGGUAUUUUAUCAAAAUAAAAAAUUUUCAUCACCUUUAAAGUGUUAAAAAUGUAAAGCAAGUGUCAAAAUAAUUUAAUCAAUCACCAAUUAUUCCAUAUUAAAUUGAAUUUAUUAUCACUUUUCGAAACAUUCAACAACAUGGUAGAACAAAGGAACAUAAAAAAUAAAUCCUAAAAAAAAUAUCUAGAAAUGAAAUUUCACCAUGAAAAAAAAAAAAAAAAAAGACAACAUCUUUUGUAUGUCUAGAUUACAGCCCAGAAGGCAAAAUCAUUAAAUUAUGUUCCGAUUAAUACCAGAUUCUAUCACAAGCAUAUAGAUCAGAAACAAAGAAGAUUUUAGUAUCAUAAAAAGAUGAAUUUAUUUGACUAACCUAGAAGCACGAUAAAAUCAAGAGAAAAAUUGUACAAUGUAUUCGAUAGGCCUAUAUUACAAAAAAAUAGCAGCAUGAUUAAAUCACAUAAGGAGAAUUUUUAAAUGAAUCCAAAUAGACUUUGACUAUAGAAUAGGGUCAAUGUAGUGGGCGUAGGAAAUUUUUUUUUUCCUACUUAAGAAUAACUUUUGAACAAAGAAGCAUCUUAAAAUUAACUUCAAGACGUGUAGACUAAGGGGAAAAAAUAUCAUACAAAAUUAAAAAAAAUCAAGAAAUAAUUUAUUUUUAUAAAAUUGGUGCAGGUGUAUAGAAUAGUGUCAAAACAGGACCUAUUUAAUAACCAAUGUAGAUCUCUCAAUUAAAAAAUGAUUUAAAAUCAAAUAAAGUCUAAUUGAUAAGUUUAAAAGGUUAGUAAUAAGUUAAAAGUAUGAAAUUCAUUUUAGAAAAACAAUAAGCCAUUCGAUUCCAAUUUUUCAAUUAAGUGGUUAAUAAUACAACAAACACUGGCAAUAGGUUUUUUCAAAGUUAGAUGUAUGUAGGGCUUCACCAAGUCCCUAUUUAAUAUACACAAAUUUAAUUCAUUCAUUUUUAACCUGAUAUGAUCAUUAGCAAGCUCAUCAAGGUAAAGAAUCAUUCCAUUUUGUUCAGAACCAUGAACUUGGAUUCAUAUAUCACAAAAUCAAAAUUCAUUUGAAAACCAAUGGAAAAAUGCACACCGAUUGAAAUUGGUUGCAUGUCUUUUGAAAAUGAUUAUUUUUUUUAACCCUAGUGACCUAAGAUGAAUUUUUAAUAGAUGUUAGAGGAUCGAUCUAUUUAGGAAAAGGUUUACAAAAGAAAAAACAAUUUUAAAGACCCUAAACACAUAAAAUAUCAGACACAAACAACAAUGAAAAAAGUGUAAUGCAUGAAGAUGAUUAUGUGGCUAUA
Molecule: RNA transcript, 11599 nt
Organism: Vitis vinifera (wine grape)
Lineage: Eukaryota; Viridiplantae; Streptophyta; Magnoliopsida; Vitales; Vitaceae
Gene name: protein DOWNY MILDEW RESISTANCE 6
Exons: 6
Source: RefSeq, a predicted model, not a curated record